UACGUAGGUGGCAAGCGUUGUCCGGAUUUACUGGGCGUAAAGAGCGCGCAGGCGGUCGUUCAAGUCGCGUGUGAAAGCCCCCGGCUCAACUGGGGAGGGUCACGCGAUACUGAUCGACUCGAAGGCAGGAGAGGGUAGUGGAAUUCCCGGUGUAGUGGUGAAAUGCGUAGAUAUCGGGAGGAACACCAGUGGCGAAGGCGACUACCUGGCCUGUUCUUGACGCUGAGGCGCGAA
This 234-nucleotide ribosomal RNA is filed under the name uncultured bacterium. Its description in RNAcentral is "partial 16S ribosomal RNA". It matches the Rfam family "Bacterial small subunit ribosomal RNA", at positions 524 to 757 of the family's 1533-position model. The record is from RNAcentral.